RNAcentral lists this ribosomal RNA (484 nucleotides) under uncultured bacterium. Its description in RNAcentral is "partial 16S ribosomal RNA". It matches the Rfam family "Bacterial small subunit ribosomal RNA", at positions 30 to 507 of the family's 1533-position model. The record is from RNAcentral.
AUUGAACGCUGGCGGCAGGCCUAACACAUGCAAGUCGAGCGGAUGAAGGGAGCUUGCUCCUGGAUUCAGCGGCGGACGGGUGAGUAAUGCCUAGGAAUCUGCCUGGUAGUGGGGGAUAACGUCCGGAAACGGGCGCUAAUACCGCAUACGUCCUGAGGGAGAAAGUGGGGGAUCUUCGGACCUCACGCUAUCAGAUGAGCCUAGGUCGGAUUAGCUAGUUGGUGGGGUAAAGGCCUACCAAGGCGACGAUCCGUAACUGGUCUGAGAGGAUGAUCAGUCACACCGGAACUGGGAAAAGGGCCAGAAUCCUAAGGGAGGCAGCAGUGGGGAAUAUUGGACAAUGGGCGAAAGCCUGAUCCAGCCAUGCCGCGUGUGUGAAGAAGGUCUUCGGAUUGUAAAGCACUUUAAGUUGGGAGGAAGGGCAGUAAGUUAAUACCUUGCUGUUUUGACGUUACCAACAGAAUAAGCACCGGCUAACUUCGUG